AUGUGUAGGCACCUACCCUUGGGUCCGGGAUAGCUGCGGGAAACCGCAGGUAAUACCGGAUGACAUCUCCGGAUCAAAGGUGUGAUUCCGCCCGAAGAGGGGCCUACAUCCUAUUAGCUUGUUGGUGAGGUAACGGCUCACCAAGGCGACGAUGGGUAACGGGUGUGAGAGCAUGACCCGUGUCAUUGGGACUGAGACACUGCCCAGACACCUACGGGUGGCUGCAGUCGAGAAUCUUCGGCAAUGGGCGAAAGCCUGACCGAGCGAUGCCGCGUGCGGGAUGAAGGCCCUCGGGUUGUAAACCGCUGUCAACGAGGAGGAAGUGCAAGGGGGUUCUCCCUUUUGUUUGACCUAUUCGAGAAGGAAGUACGGGCUAAGUUCGUGCCGGCAGCCGCGGUAAGACGAACCGUACAAACGUUAUUCGGAAUUAUUGGGCUUAAAGGGUGCGUAGGCUGCGCGGAAAGUUGGGUGUGAAAGCCCUCGGCUCAACCGAGGAAUUGCGCCCAAAACUACCGUGCUCGAGGGGGACAGAGGUGAGCGGAACUCAAGGUGGAGCGGUGAAAUGCGUUGAUAUCUUGAGGAACACCGGUGGCGAAAGCGGCUCACUGGGUCUCUUCUGACGCUGAGGCACGAAAGCCAAGGUAGCAAACGGGAUUAGAUACCCCGGUAGUCUUGGCCGU
Molecule: ribosomal RNA, 680 nt
Filed under: uncultured bacterium
Lineage: Bacteria
Description: bacterial SSU rRNA
Rfam family: Bacterial small subunit ribosomal RNA
Source: RNAcentral